RNAcentral lists this ribosomal RNA (473 nucleotides) under uncultured bacterium. Its description in RNAcentral is "bacterial SSU rRNA". It matches the Rfam family "Bacterial small subunit ribosomal RNA", at positions 28 to 507 of the family's 1533-position model. The record is from RNAcentral.
GACGAACGCUGGCGGCGUGCCUAACACAUGCAAGUCGAGCGGGGUUGAAGCGAGAGGUAACUCGAGUUUCUACCUAGCGGCGGACGGGUGAGUAACGCGUGGGCAACCUGCCUCAAGGUCUGGGAUAACAGCCCGAAAGGGCUGCUAAUACCGGGUAUGCUUGUGGCCUCGCAUGGGGCUAUGAGCAAAGGGGAAACCCGCCUUGAGAUGGGCCCGCGUCCCAUCAGCUAGUUGGUGAGGUAACAGCUCACCAAGGCGACGACGGGUAGCCGGCCUGAGAGGGUGACCGGCCACACUGGGACUGAGACACGGCCCAGACUCCUACGGGGGCAGCAGUGGGGGAUCUUGCACAAUGGGCGAAAGCCUGAUGCAGCGACGCCGCGUGAGCGAAGAAGGCCUUCGGUUGUAAAGCUCUGUCUGGAGGGACGAAGGAAGUGACGGUACCUCCGGAGGAAGCCACGGCUAACUACGUG